GUGUUCGCGUCGGCAGCACAUAUACUAAAAUUGGAGUGAUCCUGAGAGGAUUAGGAUGGCCCCUGCACCAGGAUGAUGCGCAAAUGUCAUGAAUGACAUGGAAAGUAA
This is a small nuclear RNA of Rattus norvegicus (Norway rat), 108 nucleotides long. The record is from Ensembl. NCBI's taxonomy places the organism in Eukaryota, Metazoa, Chordata, Mammalia, Rodentia, Muridae.